AUUCAGACAUGUUCAUGAUGUCAAUGUUGGUACUUGGAUGAUGCAGCCUUAUAGUUUUGUUUUACACACCAUCCUGAACUACUAUAUCUAGUGACUGUUCAAUAUUAUGAAUACAGAGAUGGAAUGCUGACACUCUAAAUUUAUGCAGAAACAUUUUGCAUUAAUUGGUUUCAAAUAUUAUUGCUUUAUACUUUUGCUGUUCUACUAAAAUAAGAACAGGAGCACCAGGAACAGACAUAAAGGCGUCAGUUACGUAUCAAUAUUUUGAAUAAAAGGAGGACAUUCUGGCACCCCCAAUUUAUGCGAAC
This 308-nucleotide long non-coding RNA is filed under the name Mytilus galloprovincialis (Mediterranean mussel). Lineage: Eukaryota; Metazoa; Mollusca; Bivalvia; Mytilida; Mytilidae. The record is from RNAcentral.